CCUACGGGAGACAGCAGUGGGGAAUAUUGCACAAUGGGGGAAACCCUGAUGCAGCGACGCCGCGUGAGUGAAGAAGUAUCUCGGUACGUAAAGCUCUAUCAGCAGGGAAGAAAAUGACGGUACCUGACUAAGAAGCCCCGGCUAACUACGUGCCAGCAGCCGCGGUAAUACGUAGGGGGCAAGCGUUAUCCGGAUUUACUGGGUGUAAAGGGAGCGUAGACGGCAGCGCAAGUCUGGAGUGAAAUCCCGGGGCUGAACCCCGGAACUGCUUUGGAAACUGGGCGGCUGGAGUGCAGGAGAGGUAAGCGGAAUUCCUAGUGUAGCGGUGAAAUGCGUAGAUAUCAGGAGGAACACCGGUGGCGAAGGCGGCUUACUGGACUGUAACUGACGUUGAGGCUCGAAAGCGUGGGGAGCAAACAGGAUUAGAUACCCCUGUAGUC
Molecule: ribosomal RNA, 440 nt
Filed under: uncultured bacterium
Lineage: Bacteria
Description: partial 16S ribosomal RNA
Rfam family: Bacterial small subunit ribosomal RNA
Source: RNAcentral